RNAcentral lists this ribosomal RNA (1397 nucleotides) under Sparassis crispa. RNAcentral's name for it is "small subunit ribosomal RNA". It matches the Rfam family "Bacterial small subunit ribosomal RNA". Lineage: Eukaryota; Fungi; Basidiomycota; Agaricomycetes; Polyporales; Sparassidaceae. The record is from RNAcentral.
GAAUUUAAUUUUGGUUCAGAUUGAACGUUAUUCAGUAGUUUCAAGACAUGCAAAUCGUUGUUUUCGACAUUGAAUUUAUAUCUAAAAAAUAUGAAAGAUAUUAGAAAAUUAGGUGUAAAGGUGAGGAUAGUAAAUAAGAUACCCCUUAGUCUUCAGAAAUAGGAGAUAUUUCUUUUUUUAAAGAAAAUAAAAAAGCUAUUUUUAUACAUAAAGGAAAAUUUUCUGCUAUAGGAUUCUAUUUAUUUCGAUUAGGUAGUUGAUAGGGUAAAGGCCUACCAAGCCAACGAUCGAUAGCUAAGCUUGAUAGAGCAAAUGGCCACAUUGGGAAUGAGAUCUCCCAAGUAGUAUUUUUAAUUAAUAGGCUACCAGCAGUCGAGAAUAUUAGUCAAUGCUCGCAAGAGUGAACUAGCUAACUGAAAUCAUUUGUGUAUCACAAGUGAUGUCGUAAGGGUAAAAUAAUGAUAUUACCUUACUAAUAGUGUCGUCAAAAGCUGUUAUGUGUUGUGGGAAAACACUAUUAUGGCUAAAACUAUCAAACUGUCAACGAUGAAUGGUAAUUACUAGUUUAAAUUACUAGAGGUGAAGUUAACACGUUAACCAUUCUUGUGAGUACGAUUGCAAAAUUGAAAACAAAAAAAUUAGUCGGUCUCGGAGCAAACGAAGUGAAGCAUGUUAUUUAAUACGAUAACCCGCGUAAAACCUUACCAGUUCUUGCAUACAAACUUCUAUUUUUUGAUACUUAUUUUAAAUAAUAUUCGCGACUUAAUAAUAAUAUUAAAUAUGCGAAUACAAUAAUUAGAAGGAGUGUUUUUUAUAAGACACUUAGUUACAGGUGUUGCAUGGCUGUCGUCAGUCCGUAUUGUCAGAAGUUAGGUUAAUUCCAUUUCAACGGACGAAAUCCCUGUUGUUAAUUUAUUCUUAACAAUUGAUGGUAACUGAUAGAGUUCCAUUUGGGGCAAAGACAAGUCGUUAUGGCCCUCAUGUUCUGGGCUAUAGACGUGCCACAAAAACUUUUACAAAGUGGUGCAAUACUUAAUCUGAAUUAAGUGGAGCUAAUCAUUAAAGAAAGUUAAAAUAUCAAAAUGUGUCGGAUUGUCACCUGCAAUUCGGUGGCAUGAAGAAGGAAUUUCGAGUAAUCGUUGAUCACUAGCGCAACGGUGAAGAUAGAAUCCGUGAUGAACUAACUGUCUGUCGCUGGGAAGAAGCUUAAACAGAAGGAAACUGGAGGUAGGUUAGAUUUUUCAUAGAUUUAGUUUUUCUGCUAUUAUUUAUUUUUAAAUAUUUUAAUAGUCAAUUAAAAAAAAAAACAUCUCUGUUAAGCUAAUUGGCUUUAGUUAAUUCAAUUAGGUAACAUUUCAAAAGUCAUAGCAAGGUAGCCGUACUGGAAAGUGCUGCUG